CACAGUGUCCCACCAGAACUUGCAGAGAUCUUAGAGAAAGUGAGAGCCAUGAGAUUUCUUUAUUUUUUCUUUGCUGUGGCUGUACUUGUCUUCCAUAUUGCUCUAGGGCGCACUCAGUCCUGCCGUGCACUGGGAGGCUUCUGCCAGACUUCACUCCGUAGAUCAUGCCCAUAUGGAUCUCUUCCAGCCAACUGUGGCAUUAAUGCCAGGUGCUGUAAAAGGAAACCACCAAUAACAAAUGCUUGUAAAAACCUGGGAGGCUACUGCCAUGUUCCACAGCGUGAAAACUGUCCCUCUGGCAAAAGUCUACCAGCCAACUGUGGCAUUAAUGGGAAAUGCUGCAAACCAGUUUUGUAAUCUAAGAUAUGGCUCCUCGCAUGUGGAAAUGAAGUAGAGCAAACCCAAAGCAGACAAGAAGGAUAUCAGACGUGACCAAUGAUCAGCAAAUUAAAUGGAGAUUAAAUAU
Molecule: long non-coding RNA, 466 nt
Organism: Sceloporus undulatus (fence lizard)
Lineage: Eukaryota; Metazoa; Chordata; Lepidosauria; Squamata; Phrynosomatidae
Exons: 3
Source: RefSeq, a predicted model, not a curated record